GUAAACGGGUGGCGUCAAGCUGCGAACCCAGAGGAUUCAGCUGGCUAGGAUGUUGUGAUGCGCCUGGCGCAUCCAUCAGUCGGAAUAAGAUGUGAUAGUCCACUGGGAGACGGUGGGCCCGGCCGUAAGGUUGGGAUAUGUGUACCGGGUGUUAGCCGGAGCAUGCUAUUCAUCUGUUGGGCUGUCUAGUCAGUGCAUUUUCUCUGUGGUGAACACCACGACCGGUGGAAUUGCCAGUCUGCUGUAGUCGAGUCUUGCUGAGAGGGUCCUUGUGGCCAACUUGGUGAGAUCACAGGCAAUGUCAGUGUACGGCGUGGGAGUGCCUUUGGUGUUCCUACGUGUUAUCGGGCGCUGCUUGUCAACGGGCCUGCUCGGCGGUUGUUGUAACUGCUGCUGGGUGGUCUGGUGGGCUAUGGUGGUAAGAAWAACUGUGCAAGGCACCGGAGUUGGCGGCUCCAAAUGCGCUCUGCACUGGCAUGUUACAAGUGCGAGGGGGUGCCAUUGCGGUCUGCCUGUUGUUGAGUCUGAUUGUCGUGUCGCCUGCGCAAAGUGGGCCCGGCAGUGGCUUGAUGCAGGAUGGGCUGUGGAUGGUGUCUCUCAGGUGUAGAGUGCAGGGAGCCCAAUAGUCAGUGGUGCUGUGGUAGACGAGCUACCCGACCCGUCUUGAAACACGGACCAAGGAGUUUAACAUGUAUGCGAGUCAAGGGGUCCUACGAAACCCAAAGGCGCAAUGAAAGUAAAGCUUCGACUUGUCUCGGAGUGAGGUGAGAUCCUGCCGUAACUCGCAUCGCUUGGUGCCAGCAUCAGGCAAAGAGCGGUGGGCGCAUCACCGGCCCGUCUUAUGAUGUGGUCAUUGGAUGUCUGCGGUCAUUCUUGU
Molecule: ribosomal RNA, 877 nt
Filed under: Scyphophyllidium mattisi
Lineage: Eukaryota; Metazoa; Platyhelminthes; Cestoda; Phyllobothriidea; Phyllobothriidae
Description: partial large subunit ribosomal RNA
Source: RNAcentral